Molecule: ribosomal RNA, 441 nt
Filed under: uncultured bacterium
Lineage: Bacteria
Description: partial 16S ribosomal RNA
Rfam family: Bacterial small subunit ribosomal RNA
Source: RNAcentral
CCUACGGGUGGCAGCAGUGGGGAAUAUUGCUCAAUGGGGGAAACCCUGAUGCAGCCACGCCGCGUGAGUGAGGAAGUAUCUCGGUAUGUAAAGCUUUAUCAGCAGGGAAUAGAAAACAAGGUACCUGAAACAGAAGCCCCGGCGAACUACGGGCCAGCAGCCGCGGUAAUACGCAGGGGGCAAGCGUUAUCCGGAUUUACUGGGGGUAAAGGGAGCGUAGACGGUAAGGCAAGUCAGAAGUGAAAGCGCAAGGCUCAAACAUGGGACUGCUUUUGAAACUGGCGAACUAGAGUACGGGAGAGGUAUGAGGAAUUCGUGGUGUAGCGGUGAAAUGCGUAGAUAUUAGGAGGAACACCGGUGGCGAAGGCAUCUUACUGGACCGAAACUGACGUUGAGGCUCGAAAGCGUGGGGAGCGAACAGGAUUAGAUACCCGGGUAGUC